This 935-nucleotide unclassified non-coding RNA is filed under the name Hevea brasiliensis (rubber tree). Lineage: Eukaryota; Viridiplantae; Streptophyta; Magnoliopsida; Malpighiales; Euphorbiaceae. The record is from RNAcentral.
GGCAAGACAGAAAUUUUCUUUAAAAAAAAAAAACUGAUGUACCAAAUGGAAUCCUGCAGUUUCAACGAAGCAGUACAAUCAAUUCUCUAAAGAGAUUAACAGCAUCCACCUAGCCAAUAAUGAAAACAACAUUUUUAAACAAAAACUUACUAUCAAAAACAAGAAUUCAGUUUAAGAUGCAAAUCUAAAAGAAACUAUUCAACUAAUCAGACUUUACCCAAGUCAUUGUAGGUGAUUAAAACGUGAACAGAGGAGUUAAUAUUUGAAACAAGGGAGAUGUCGGAUAGUUGGUGAUGGAAGCGUUGGUAGAGUUGAAUAUUGUGAGUAGCGGUUCAAGUUGAAACAGCAUCAAAUCUGUAUCGUUCAGGGAGAUGAACUGAACCUGCUGAAGUCAAAGGGCAUGAGGUCAGUGGUGCCAAAUGAGCCUGCUAGUAGUGAAGAUGACAAAUUGGUCUGCUUGUGGCAUCAAGUUUGAAAUGGGGAGACUCCAAAAAUGGAUCGAUAUGGAAGGCGAAUUUCAUUGAGGAACUGAAGAAGGAACAAAUGAACUUUGGUGGGAACUUGUGUGUGACAGAGGUGGUACUGAAGCUAGGCUUUGUGGGUGUAUCAAUGUGAGUUGGGUGUGGUGCUGUCAGAACUUGUGAGAGCCUAGGAUGAGCACACAAUGGUUAUAACUGAAAAAUCGAAUCGAACCAAACUAUUUUAGUUCGUUUAUUUGAUUCCAUUUUUCGGUUUUACGUUUCGAUUUUGGUUUAGGAAUUUUCAAAAGUUUGGUGUUCGGUUUAGUUCAAUUAUUUUUGCUCAAAAACCAAAAAUUAAUUGAACCUAAGUAAAUGGGCCAUUUCACUUAUAUAGCUUUAGUCUCCCAUAUUAUUUUACCCAAGUUUGCUACACAGCCUAGCCCAUUCUUUGCCCUGUUCUAAUAAAAAUCUAAA